Molecule: unclassified non-coding RNA, 393 nt
Filed under: Hevea brasiliensis (rubber tree)
Lineage: Eukaryota; Viridiplantae; Streptophyta; Magnoliopsida; Malpighiales; Euphorbiaceae
Source: RNAcentral
AAAAUUGUUGAACUGCCUGAUUGUAUUGGAGAUCUUCUUAACUUGGUGUAUCUUGAUCUCAGUGGAAAUAACUUGAAGUUGUUGCCCGCGAGUUUUGCUAGGUUAGCUCACCUUCAAGAACUUGAUUUGAGCUCUAACAUGCUAUCAGUACUCCCUGAGACAAUUGGCUCCUUAGUAAGUCUUAAGAAAUUGAUUGUGGAAACUAAUGACCUUGAGGAACUUCCUCACACUAUUGGUCAAUGCACUUCGCUGAAAGAGCUUCGUGCUGACUAUAACCGUCUUAAAGCUCUUCCUGAAGCCUUGGGACGAAUGGAUUCUUUGGAGAUUCUAUCCGUGAGGUACAAUAACAUCAGGCAAUUGCCUACAACUAUGGCAUCCUUAACAAGUUUGAAA